This 253-nucleotide ribosomal RNA is filed under the name uncultured bacterium. Its description in RNAcentral is "partial 16S ribosomal RNA". It matches the Rfam family "Bacterial small subunit ribosomal RNA", at positions 524 to 776 of the family's 1533-position model. The record is from RNAcentral.
UACAGAGGUCCCAAGCGUUGUUCGGAUUUACUGGGCGUAAAGGGUGCGUAGGUGGUUGGGUAAGUCUGAUGUGAAAUCUCCGGGCUUAACCCGGAAAUGGCAUUGGAUACUAUUCGACUAGAGGGUUGGAGGGGGGACUGGAAUACUUGGUGUAGCAGUGAAAUGCGUAGAUAUCAAGUGGAACACCAGUGGCGAAGGCGAGUCUCUGGACAUUUCCUGACGCUGAGGCACGAAAGCCAGGGGAGCAAACGGG